RNAcentral lists this long non-coding RNA (591 nucleotides) under Amborella trichopoda. RNAcentral's name for it is "long non-coding RNA (ATRI_LNC003671)". The record is from RNAcentral. Lineage: Eukaryota; Viridiplantae; Streptophyta; Magnoliopsida; Amborellales; Amborellaceae.
UGCGAUCAGUGUUUGCAAAUUUGGCCCGUCCAACUCUGAACCGGCCUAUCAAAUCGGACCCGGGUAGUGGUUGAACCGAUGUUGAUCGGUUUUGGUGGUCUUGUCGGGUAUUUUUUAAAAAAUCAAAAAAAAUAAAUAUAAUCCAAAAAAAUAAGAGAAUUGUUCGUAAUGCGUUUUUAAAUGUUUUUUUAUCAUUUUGGCAAAUAUUUGAAAGUGUUUUUGGCCAUACAUACUCAUUUUUACAUUUUCCCAUCUUUUCUAAAAAUUUUCAAAAAUACUCUUGGGCACAGAUCAAUUUUUUUAAAUCCAUUUUUUUUUCACUACUUUUGUGUUUUGUUUAAUAAUGCUUUAAAUAUAAUUUUUUGGAUUUUUUUAUUUUUUUUAACACUUUUUUGACUGCCCAAAACCUGCACGGUUAGGCCUGUUUACCAGUUACUCUGACCCGCCCCUUGGCCGUUCCAAGACUGGUUCGAUUUUUCGAACACUGGAUGCAAUAUUAAAAUUCUGAUAUACACAUGGGUGAUACGUAUUGCUGAGUUUAUAUGGAGGUUACAUCUUGAGUGUGCAGAACAUGAUAUUUAUAGAGGGAAG